RNAcentral lists this ribosomal RNA (448 nucleotides) under uncultured bacterium. RNAcentral's name for it is "bacterial SSU rRNA". It matches the Rfam family "Bacterial small subunit ribosomal RNA", at positions 330 to 792 of the family's 1533-position model. The record is from RNAcentral.
UCCAGACUCCUACGGGAGGCAGCAGUGGGGAAUAUUGGGCGAUGGGCGCAAGCCUGACCCAGCAACGCCGCGUGAAGGAAGAAGGCUUUCGGGUUGUAAACUUCUUUUACCAGGGACGAAGAAAGUGACGGUACCUGGAGAAUAAGCCACGGCUAACUACGUGCCAGCAGCCGCGGUAAUACGUAGGUGGCGAGCGUUGUCCGGAUUUACUGGGUGUAAAGGGCGCGUAGGCGGGAAUGCAAGUCAGAUGUGAAAUCCAUGGGCUUAACCCAUGAACUGCAUUUGAAACUGUAUUUCUUGAGUGUCGGAGAGGUAGACGGAAUUCCUAGUGUAGCGGUGAAAUGCGUAGAUAUUAGGAGGAACACCAGUGGCGAAGGCGGUCUGCUGGACAGCAACUGACGCUGAGGCGCGAAAGCGUGGGGAGCAAACAGGAUUAGAUACCCUAGUA